RNAcentral lists this long non-coding RNA (3508 nucleotides) under Lathyrus oleraceus (garden pea). RNAcentral's name for it is "Pisum sativum (pea) long non-coding RNA (PSAT_LNC003811)". The record is from RNAcentral. Lineage: Eukaryota; Viridiplantae; Streptophyta; Magnoliopsida; Fabales; Fabaceae.
AGUGUUUUUCCCUUUCCUAGAAUCGCUUUAACACUCAAUUUAGUUCCCAAUACCAACUGUUGAUUGAUGAAGAAACAUGGAUGGUGUGGAAGAAUUUGAAAAGUUGUAUUGUUUGAGAGUUUGAAAGGACAAGGAGAAUAGAGUUUAAAAAAAAGAAUUAUUAAAAAUAUUUAUAAAGGAUUUUUUAAAUAUUUUUUAAAUGAUUUUGUAUAGAAUAAUAAGAGAGUGUUUAUCAUUGACAUAUUUUUAAUUUUCAAAAUAUUAUGACAACAUAGAUUGUAUUUUAAUAAUUUGUCAAUACUCUCUAAAACCUUCCAAAUCCAUCUCCAAUAUAACUUUUUAGCUCCUCAAAUUAGAGGAAUUUUGGAAUUUGAAUGAGAAUAAAUCCUCAAAAACCCUCCCCACCUAAAUCCCCCAUGUCUUUUUAUUCAAUCGUUCUCUUUUUUCAAAGCACACGUCUCCCUCCACCUCCAAACUCCCAACAAAUCCCAAGAGUAUAUUUGGAUUGAUGGUAUGGAAUAGAAUGAAGUGAUAAAUAAUGAGAUUUUAUUGUUUGAAUUUACAAAUAAUUGAUGGAGUGAGAUGAGACAUGAUAUCUAUUCCAUCAUAUUUCAUAUAAUUCUUCAAUUUUCAUUUCAUCAAAUGCAAUGGAAUUUGUUCGAUUUUGUUCCGUCAAAUUAUACAAAAUACACAAAUAAUAAAAUGAAAUUUAUGUUCCAUUCCGCCCCACUCAACUAUAUUCCAUCAUGUUUUAUUUCGCUCUAAAAAAGUAUUUUUUAGGUGGAAAAUAAUUUUUAGGUAGAGCAAAAGUGGACUCACGCACUUUUUUUAACUACUUUCAAAACACUAUCAUAUGCUUAAACCAAUAGCGAUUCAAUAGUUUGUCUUGAUUCUAGGGUUGAUGGCGAUUUAUGGUUUUGUUUCUAUGUUGUUAUUCUAUGAUCUAUUGAUGAUGAUUUUGAUAGUCUGAGAUCCAAUCUAAAUCAUGGAUGAGAUUUCUAAGUGCGCAUGUGUUAUACCUAUGUAUUCCUUCUUUGUUUGAGAGUUUGGAAGAAAAGAGAUGAGAUGACUUUGAAAAAUAGGAAGAAUUGAAUGAAAAAAAAAUAGAAAGAUUUUGAUUGGGAGGAUUUGUAUUUAUUCAUAAAACCAAAAUCUCAUAACUUGGAAGAAUUCAAAAUUUGUAUUGAAAAAGAAUUUUGGAAAAUUUUAGAAAACUUAGACAAAUUAUUCAAAUAUAAUUUUUGUUGUUAAAGUAUUAAAAAAAUUAAAAAAAUAUUCACAAUAAAUAUUAUUUUAUCAUUUUAAAUAAAAUAUUUUUCUUAAAAAACUUAUAUAUUUAUUUAUAUUUUAAUUUUUUUCUUUCCAAUCCCUCGUUUACCUUCUCACUAAACUGAAAAAAAAGUCCAAUUUUGUUUCCUUAUUUUUUAGUUUUUCCUUUUUGUGUAUCAUUUGUUUCUGUUGUUAACUAAUGCUUCUCAUGAAACAACUUUAUCUUCGAUUAGGUGUUAGUUUAGUUCAUUUUAUUUCAACUACUUCUAUAUAACAAAAUUAAAAUAUAACUUUAGAAAUAAAUAAAUCUUUUUAACACAAUAAAAUAUACAAUUUGAAAAUUUCAAGUUUAUAUUGCCAUUAAUAUUUUAUUCCAUUCCAUUUAAUAUUUAUGAAUUGAGAUACUACAAAUGUGGAUUCUUAUGUUUGUUUGCUUUAGCAAAUUUAAUUUUUUUCAAAAUUUUUAAAUUAUUAAAUUAUACUUUAUUUUUAUAUGUAUUUAUUAAAAAAGCGGAAAGAAGUGCCAUCUGAACACUAGUAAAAAUAAAUGCGUGGCUGGAUAUGAUUCGGAGUAGUGAAGGCAGAUAUUAAUUGAUAGAUUUGAGCACUACAUAAACCUCUCAUCGCCUCUCCCUUCCUCAUCCUCAAUCUCCUCCGCCUUCAUCAUUUCCAGACACCAUUUUCAUUUCAUCUCUCUCCCCAUGGAAGGAUCUGGAGUUGUUACCGUCUAUGGCAACGGCGCCCUCACCGAAACAACCAAGAAAUCCUCUCCUUUCUCCGUCAAAGUCGGCCUCGCCCAAAUGCUCCGCGGCGGCGUCAUUAUGGACGUUGUCAACGCCGAACAAGCCCGCAUCGCUGAAGAAGCCGGUGCCUGCGCCGUCAUGGCUCUCGAACGUGUCCCCGCCGACAUCCGCGCCCAAGGCGGCGUCGCUCGUAUGAGCGACCCUCAGCUCAUCAAAGAAAUCAAACAAGCCGUCACUAUCCCCGUCAUGGCCAAGGCCCGUAUCGGUCACUUCGUUGAAGCUCAGAUCCUCGAAGCUAUCGGAAUCGAUUACGUCGAUGAGAGUGAGGUUCUAACCCUAGCUGAUGAAGAUAAUCACAUCAACAAACAUAACUUCCGUAUCCCUUUCGUUUGCGGUUGCCGGAACCUCGGUGAAGCUCUCCGUCGUAUCAGAGAGGGAGCUGCCAUGAUUCGUACCAAAGGUGAAGCCGGGACCGGUAACAUCAUUGAAGCUGUUAGACAUGUUAGGUCUGUUCUCGGUGAUAUUAGGGUUCUUGCAAACAUGGAUGACGACGAGGUUUUCACUUUCUCCAAGAAAAUUGCUGCUCCUUAUGAUCUUGUUAUGCAGACGAAGCAACUCGGGAGGCUUCCGGUUGUUCAGUUUGCCGCCGGUGGUGUUGCUACACCGGCUGAUGCAGCGUUGAUGAUGCAGCUUGGUUGUGAUGGUGUGUUUGUUGGUUCUGGUGUUUUCAAGAGCGGCGACCCGGCGAAACGGGCUCGAGCGAUUGUUCAGGCUGUUACUCAUUACAGUGAUCCUGAGGUUUUGGCCGAGGUUAGUUGUGGAUUGGGUGAAGCUAUGGUUGGGCUUAACUUGACUGAUCAUAAUGUCGAGAGGUUCGCGAAUCGGUCUGAAUGAAUGAAUGGAUUCACUAAAGGUUCUCUUUUGCAUGGAAAUUUCUAUCUGAAAGGGUUUUAUCUUAUCUUAUUUUACUAGUUUUUUUUAGUUGUUUCUUAUAUUUGAUUUUAAUAAGGUUAUCAUGUUUUUGCUUCUUAUGUUUUUGAACUGUCUUAGAUGGAAGAAAGAAAACAAAAGAAAAAAAGAAAAGAAGAAGCUAGCCUUCCGUGGCUUGUAAUAUGCUGAUACUUGUUUUAGACAUCCAAGGUUAUUAUAGUGUUUAAACUAGUAUGUUGAGUCUGUGGAUUCAUCAUGAACUAGAACCAUUCUUGUUUGAGUAUUGAAUUCUAUUGUCAUGUUGAGUCUGUGGAUUCAUCAUGAACUAGAACCAUUCUUGUUUGAGUAUUGAAUUCUAUUAGUUGAGUCUGUGGAUUCAUCAUGAACUAGAACCAUUCUUGUUUGAGUAUUGAAUUCUAUUGUCAUGUUGAGUCUGUGGAUUCAUCAUGAACUAGAACCAUUCUUGUUUGAGUAUUGAAUUCUAUUGUUAUGUUGGAUCUAUUGUCUUUUUUAAUAAGUUAAUAUUGGAUGUUAAUCUUUGCUCAAUUGGAUUGUGUUUCAAGCCA